ACGCCUGGGCUCUCCGGGUACC
Molecule: microRNA, 22 nt
Filed under: Caenorhabditis briggsae
Lineage: Eukaryota; Metazoa; Nematoda; Chromadorea; Rhabditida; Rhabditidae
Description: Cbr-Mir-10-P3m_3p* (star (passenger))
Source: RNAcentral